Molecule: long non-coding RNA, 7690 nt
Filed under: Podarcis lilfordi (Lilford's wall lizard)
Lineage: Eukaryota; Metazoa; Chordata; Lepidosauria; Squamata; Lacertidae
Source: RNAcentral
ACUGAGGACAACAGACCCAUACAGCGACUGGAGGGCCAAGUGAAAGCGACUCUUUUCUAACUUUAAUGUGCUUAACGCACACCAACCACAGAGGCAAGAAAGGGGAAGUGAUGAACAGGAAGGAAGGAACUCUGAUGAGGUGGAAGAAUGAGGCAGCUUCCGAGGGUGUAGGGGCCACAGACUGGCUACAAAAGAGCAAAUAAGUUUUGCAUCUAAAUUAAGAGGCAGUUCUUCAGUAGAUGCAGGUGUUCUCCUCCUGUGCACACCUUUUUACUGGGUUGUUGUUGAAAGCUGGCUCAGAAAUCCACAAGUGAUAAAGAGGUAAUUAGUAUCAAUAGGCUUGGAUCAGCUCCUCUUGUGUAAAGUCCAGCCUGGAACCUGUUUUCUUCCACAUUAGAUCGCAUGAUACCUGGUUAUGCUCCUGAGGGCUCCGCUACCCCUUUAGGGGCACAUACGAGAACAUCUCCCUUACUCUCCCCCCCACCCAUACCUGUUUUUCAUGAUGAGUCAGAAGAUGUUUCUGAAGCCACUCCCAAGAAACUUACAGUGAAGCCUUUAUAAAUAAUAAUAAUACUUUUCAUGAAAAAAGGCCCCAUGGGCCUAAGUUUCACUUCAUCAUUUUGGAUUUGUAAAGCAAGUAUUUGCAUUUUGAAACCUCAUCUCUUGCUGCCUUUUAAAAGUUUAAAAUAGAAUCGUGUCUGUCUGUAACUUUUAAUGAUUGACUUCUUUUAUGGGGAAGUAGGGGAAGAGUUAGCGUAUGUCUGAGAGGUAAUAGUUACCUCUGUGGCUUCCUUGCUUGUUGUUAAGCUGAGGAGCAAAGGCUCCGCCUCUCUCCAUUUUAUAGCCUCUUCAAGCACUUUGAAUUUUGGUUAAAAUGACUGACAAGUGCAUCAUAUCCACAUCGUGCACUGAAAGCACAUGGCUUCCCCCAAAGAAUCCUGGGAACUGUAGUUUAGCAAGCAUGCUGGGAAUUGUAGGUCUGCAAGGUGUCAGCUACAAUUCCCAGGAUUCUUUGGGGGAAGCUGUGUGCUUUAAAGGCGCUUUAAAUUUAUGACAUGGAUACGACCUAAUGAGCAAAGCAGUGACCUCUCAGCCACAAUCCUAGGAACACACAAAAUACUGGCUCUGAGCUUCAUUGCCCUAUUCUUUAACCCCCGAAAACAGGAGAAACAUUUUAUUGCCACAAUUGUUUUCAGAUGCAAAUGUCAUAUUUUUCUGGGAGUGCUUUAUGACCCCCCGAUUCCUAAUGGUUAUGGUAGAGAGGACAAAUCUAGGUUUUCUUAGCUCCCGGAGUGCCCAUGAAAGUCCAUUUACUAAUAAUAUACAAAUAGAAUGAAAUAUAUCUUGCCAAUCAAAAUACUGAAACAACGUGUAAAAUACUGAAACAAUAUUAUAUGUCAAUGGCCUCCAAGUCACAGCUAUUCUUGUUUCACAGGAAGUUCCCAGGUUCAUAUAGGAAGUCAGUUUUUAGAGUAAGGAGUUGAAUCUGGACUUCCAGUGCCUCUUAAGCACCAGAUCAUUCUUCCUCUGUAUGCAGAGUUAUUUUUGAGGAUCGGGAAUUAAGCAAAACCCAGCCUGCUGUUAGCUCAACCAACGCUCCCCAACUUUGGGGCAAAGGACUUUUGAAGAAAGAAAAAUCAAUUUGUGAAUGCUUCUGUUGUAUAUAAUUAUACCUUUUUAAUGUUUUUAAUACUGGAUCCCUUAUACAUGUACUUUUUUUGUUUUUUUAAAGUAGGUCUAUAGGCAAAAGAAAUAUCAUAAAUUUAUGUAUACAAAGAAAUUAUGUAGAUCUUGAGGCAGUAAGAAUCUCAAUGUAAGCAUGAUUAGUAAUAACCAUCUUAGACAGCAAGACUUUUUAAUGAAGUUUAUUUAAGUUAGUUUACUACAUGCUAUUUAAUAAUUUUGACACUGGAGGAAUAUUUUCUUUAAAAACAAAAUGUGAUACUUUUUUUUCUAACAGAUUAUAUGAUUUAAAGUGCAAUCUUUCGCAUGGUUACUCAAAAUAAAUCCUUCUGUGUCCAGUGGGGCUUAUUCCUUUGUAAGCAUGUUUUGGAUUGCAAACUUAACUUUUUAAAAUUAUUUUUUAAAAGUCUUAUGUUUGGUACAACCUGUAUUCUUCCUGAUCUGGAGAAUGUUAGCCAUCAGCUCCAUUGAACUAAAUGAACACUGGCUAGUCAUGACAACUAGUUAGCCAUUGAAUUCAAUGGAACAUCAGCAGAGUCCCCCUUCUCUGGAUUCAGGCCUUACUGGUUUAGUGUUAGAUGCUACAUGUUAUCAACUUGUUGUUUUUCCCCAAAAAAUGGAAAAAAAAAUGUUUUGUAAAUAGCUACCAGGAAAUAGUCCUAUAGAAAUUUCACUUGAAUCUCUCAUUAAGUUAUUAUUACUAUUAAUAUUGUGUAAGAAUAUUUGCAGUUGUUCAUUACAUCUCUGCUAAAGAUCUUAGCCUAAGAUCUAAGCCUUUGUUGAAGGAAUUGAUGUCGUAUUUUCAAGAUGAAAAAAACAAAAACCUUAGCUAGUUUGUCAUAAUCCUGUAUUCUGUAAACAAACAAAAGAAGCCUUUUUAUAAAGAGAGUCUACAUAGGCUUACAAGCAAUAAUAUAUUCCAUUUGGUGUGAAGAAUGUGAUGUGCAGAUGGCAGUGUAUACCAUGGAUAACAAUAUGUGAUGACAGAUUUAGUUUUUAGGGAUGUCAGGUUUGAUUAGGCCAUAUUAAUAUUGGCCAUUUGGUUAUUUUUUAACAGGGAAGUUGGGGUAGGUGCCAUACUGUUGGUUCUGUUCUACCUACUUGUGUAAGUCCAAUCACUGACCAUAAAAUAUAUGUAGUUGACUUUCAUGCUACAAUUGUCAAAAAGUUUCAAUAUAAAGCUCACCAAAUGUGUCAGAUCUCCUUGUUUUCAGAUAACUGUUGAGCAUUUGUCACAGUUUUUUCAGACACCGCCACUGCCAGUGUUUUGUAUUAUGAAUCUGAUGGCAGCUCUGCCCCCUAACGGGCCUGUUUGGCAAAGACACCUCGUUGAAGUUAAAGGGAGGUGGGCUGUAUUUUUCUUUUUUUUCCUGAGCUGCAGUUCCAUCCUUUAUUACUGUACAUGACACCAAAGCAGGGGAAUACAUGCACCUUUGUCAACGACAAGCACAGACUGAUGUGCAAAACAGAAUGCCACAAUGCUUGACUGUGCUGUCACAUAACGGCAAACAGUAUUAGGGAAUAUGUGUGGAGGUUUCCGCCAAAUGGCAGGAGCAGAAUCUGCUCUGCAUCCGCAUUAAGUUCAGUCCGGUGGAUAAAAUAAUUAGGCUGCAAUCAGUGCUAAAGUUUAGCUCCAGCAGGUGGGAGAGCGAAUGAGCAGGCAAGCUCAGAUGGAAACUCUCAAAUUGUAAAAGCGUUCCCACUCCCAGGGCUAGCGCUUGGUUCGUAAAAAGGCCCUUCCCCAACACUCCUAAGAAAUCUUGCAGAAAAUUAAUUUCCCUUGUUGAUUACAGAUCGGGCAACAAGCUAUGUUUGCAAUGCUAAACCUGGAACAGAGGUCAGCAAAUGAUGCUCAUAGGGCCACACCCAUUACUGUGCAUGGCUCCAUCUCUCCCCAUUACUAGUGAGGCCACUGCUAAUCCCAGAGGCAAAAGAUGGAUGUGGAUGAACAUUCCCCAGUCAGCACAACCAACCAAAGGCCCAUGCUGGUCACACCAGGGCUGUCAUUCUGUCUGGCAGUGUGUGAGUGGAUUGAUGGGAGACCUUUUUCCUUUUGCCUCUUCACAUAGCCACAGAACAUUAAUUAUGUUCCAUACUUUAAGUAUGGAGCUCACUGUGACAGGAUGUGGCAUGCACCUUCCCCUUACAUGGCCUUUUCAGACAGGGCCUAAACCAGAGCACAUUUGCUUGGUGAAAGGGCAUGACUAUAUCCAAGAUGUGGAAGGGGAAUUCCUGAAGCCACUGUACCCCCGCACAUCAUGCAUUCAUCUGAUGCUGAAGUUCACUGGCUUCAACAUCCUAAUUGGAUGAAUGCACCUUGGCCAAAAACCCAAUCUGCGCAGCACAUGUUGACUUGCAGUUACAUAUUAUGAAUUGCAUUUGCCUGUGUCCUGCUUCCCUUUCCACAUGGGCGUUAUGUUUUUACACACCAAACGUAGGAAGCUGCCUUAUCUCAAGUCACAGCAUGGGUCCAUUCAGCUCAGUAUCACCAGCACUGGCUCUCCAGGGUUUCAAGCAGUUGUCUCUCCUGGCCCUACCUGGAGGCGCUGAGGAUUAGAUUUAGGACCACCUGCAUGGAUGAAGAUGCUCUACCACAUAGUGUGGUCCUUCCCUUAACAGAAAGCCCAAGCCUAGAGCCAACAGAGGCUUGAAGGCAAUUUAAGUCUCGUGUAUGGAAAUGUUUUUAGAUGUGACUCACUUUCACAGGGAUUUAGUGAAGAUAAUCUUUUGCUGGGUUGUGCCCUCUAUCCCUGGGUGUUAAAAUAGUGCUACCUGCUACAUGUCCUCUCCUUUGCCAUGCCAAUCCUCAUAACGCAUGAAGUUUGCAAGAAUUUAACGAAAAAUGAAAACGGGCGGGCAACUAGAUAAUUAUCAACUGCAUGUUACCUGGGUCGGUAACCUUUUUGGAAUACAUUGCACAGGACAGGAUCUCUCGUAAAAGACCCCCAAAUCCAAGAAAAUGUCUCAUUUCUAACAAACCCCAUUGAAAUGUUCAUAAGGUGCAUGAACUUCCCUGUUUGGCAUCUUCUGUGGCAGGUUGCUCUGUAACAGUGCUGUACAUGUGGCAAAGUGUGACUUAGCACAUAGUGUCCAGCACACAUUAAUGUUGGAUGCUGUCUUUUGUCUUUAAAGGAAGAUACGGAUGCGCUGUUUUCUUUGUCUGUCAGUUUUAUCCAGACAAUACAAAAAAAUGGUUGGGUAAUUUGCAACUUAGUGUUAAGCUACUGAAACUGUUGAAAAUAAACAUUCUUCAUUUCUUUUCCUAAGUUGAAUCUGAGCCUUUUCAUUGAAUGCAUUUUAAAAAAAUAAAAUAAUGACGACGACGAUGAUUUAUUAAAUUUCUGCCCUGCCCUUCACCACGAACAAUUAAAAAAAUAACAAUAUUAAAAUCAGUUAAAGCAAAUUACAGUCACGAGAAUGGGGUGGGUACCAGAAAUAGAUGUCUUGGGUGUCCAAGGUCAGGGUAAAGCAUCUUCAGCAUACGACAAAAACUGAGUAAUGAAGGUGCUCGAUGCAUCUCUGUAGGAAGGCAAUUCCAUGGCUUCAGAGGCUGGCAAAGAGAAUGCCCCAAACUUCUGAGGACAAUGGAAGCAUCAAGAGGGACCCCUCUGUUGAUCAACUCCAUUAGGAAGGAGGGAGUCUUUCAGAUAACUGGGGCCUACAUCACUUUGGGUUUUAAACCCUUAUGUGAGCACCUUGAAUUGGACUUUGAACUACAGUGGUUACCUUGGUUCUUGAACUUAUUCUGUUCCAGGACUCCGUUAGACUCCUGGAACCAUUUGAAAACCAAGGUGUGGCUUCUGAUUGGCUGCAGGAGCUUCCUGUUCGUCUUCCGAAAAACAUUCACAAUCCGGAACACUUACUCCUGGGUUUGUAGCAUUCGGGAGCUGAUUUGUUCGACAACUAAGCCGUUCGAUAACCAAGGUACCACUGUAUUUUCCAGGGACCUUGAAGUUAGGGCACCAUACUAAAACACAUCGAAGAGAAGAUGUGCCUUUCUUUUUACCACUGAGUUGCAACCAGCUGGGAUCAGGGUGUCACAGAGUGAGUCAGUCAGUAAAUCACACCUCUUUACUAGCAAAAACACAAUCUUCACAGAACUUGUCGAGUGUCGGACCUAAUGAACACAGCAGUUCCUUCCCUGUCUUACUCCAGGAAAUCAGUUACCAAGACUAAAGGUUUCCCCACUGCCGUCUGUGUCUCCUCCUCCCCUGGGCUUUCCCCAAGCAAUCAGAGACUGCAUCUGCACAUCUAUCUAAGCUUCUCCCGUUUUAUGCCUCUUCUGGUCCUGGGAAGAGGGAGGGUAUCUGCCCUUUGCUUUCAUGGAAUAGGCUGUGAUCCUAAAUAAUUAGGCUUGUGUGGAACCAUUUACUAUUUUCUAAGCACUCAUACAAUCAAUGUUUUAUCAUUCUUCUACCCCCCCAUCACUCUGUAAGGGUCAUAUUUGGCCCCCAGGCAUGUAAGUCGACCCAACCGAAUCUAUGAUUUUGGGAUCUAAUUCAUUAGGAAAGUAACAGGGCUUAUGAUUGGUAAACACAACAUUUGGCUUAAUUCCAAAUCAGCCCAGGAUUCAUGGGCUUUAUCAGAGAACUUGUUGCAUUGACCAGAUAUUUCAAGGCUAAGUUUUUGCUCAAAUUAUGCCUACUGUUAAGCCACAGUGGUGGAAGACAAGGGCAAUCAAGUAGGUUGGGAGGAGAGAAACAAAGAGGGGACCCCAGGGUAUAGAAAUGGAAUGGCAGACAACGAGAAGAAGUGCCCAUAAGACUUACCCAUUGCUCAAAAGAUGUUUGUUUUUUUAAUGUAACCAAAGCAGAUUAUGGAAAAGUCACCAUCAGUUCCCCCAUCACCAACUUCCAAAUGGAGCAUCAGCUUCUGGCUGUUGCUAGGCAACUGGUGCCCUCCGCAUAAUAUCUCCUAGCAACCCAAGGACGGUGACAGCAACAAAUAAUAAACAAACAGGUGCCUUGACUUGAUGGCUUCUCACAUUCUCUAUGAAUGGCAGCCACUCUGUUUGUGAAACAAACGCUCAGCACUACAGAUGUCCCAGUUCAUCACUUCCUGCGGGGUCCCUGGCAUUACUUUCUGCACAGUUAAUUUGCAGCUUUUGUGCUCUGGUGUUCUCUGUGACGCAGGCUGAUCAGACAUGGUGAGCAAAUGUAGAAACCAGCCAACAGAAACAGUGAAGGAGCAAUCCAGGGCCUGAUCCUGCUCUCCAAAGUUUCUUUGUAGCUGCACUUUGGUGCUGAGCUUUUGUUUCCCAGGGCGUCUAAUAUAAAGAGUAAGGCUAACACCCAACUGAAGAAAGCUGAAGUCCUGGUCUACACCUUUAGCAGCAUGAGCUGGAAAGGAGAUGGCACAGAACUGGUGGUGGACGUAUGGAUGGCAUCACUUCAGGCUGAAGACAGGUGGGUAUGGAGAUUAUCUUUAAACACCUGUAAGAAAGGAACCCACCCUACAAUCACCCUACAGCAAGGAAGGUGAGGACCAUGAGAUUCUUUAUGCUCCACCUUGGUCACCAAGAUCCUCAGAUGGGGCACUUCUGGUGCUUCCCCAUACCCCUGAGGUUUGGUCUGAUGAUUUCAGGUACCUUCCUUGAACAUCUAUUAUUUUUCUUAGCGGACAGCACCAGUCCAAUUCUGGGGAGAAGUGAUGCAACAACAGCAGAAUGUGAAAACACCAAGAGAGACACAGCAAAGAGCUAACUCUUCCUCUUGACAGCCAAAUACCGCAUCUCGCGACACUGGGGCAGGGAAGGCACCCAGUUCCCUUUCCCUUUCUCCACCAGUGAGCCAACCACUGUAUCCAUCCUGCCUGUGGUUUCUGCAUAUGCUGCCUCAUGGAAGCCCUGAGCAGCAAUCAAUGUCAAUGAUCUCUCAGGGAUCACAGGACUUUCCUCCUACGUGCAUGUAGUCCUGAGUCUAAUCUGGAUGGUUUGGUUUUCUUUACACAGAGUUCGAAGGUGGUGAUUUGCAAUAAAGAUCUGGCUUCUAAUGCCACUAUUUUAUAA